CGCAUCUGUGCAUGCAGCAUAUCAAUAAGCGGAGGAAAAGGAAACUAACAAGGAUUCCCCUAGUAACGGCGAGUGAAGCGGGAAGAGCUCAAAUUUGAAAUCUUAAAGGGUUUCCCUUUACGAAUUGUAGUUUAAAGAAGUGUUUUCUGUUGAGGUUUUGGUAAAAGUUCUUUGGAAUAGGACAUCAUAGAGGGUGAGAAUCCCGUAUUUGACCUUUACUUUCAACUUUGUGAUACACUUUCAAAGAGUCGGAUUGUUUGGGAAUGCAGUCCAAAAUGGGUGGUAAAUUUCAUCUAAAGCUAAAUAUUGGCGAGAGACCGAUAGCGAACAAGUACCGUGAGGGAAAGAUGAAAAGAACUUUGAAAAGAGAGUUAAACAGUACGUGAAAUUGUCAAGAGGGAAGCGUUUGACACCAGUGUUGUUUUUCUCGAAAAUCAAUUAAAGAAUGCUCGAUUUAUGUAAUUGCUGUAGACCUUAUAAGCUCACUGUACAGUUUUGCGUGUCUUUUUAAUGCACUUUUCAGUUAACAAGUCAACAUCAAUUUCUUUUGCUGUAAAAAAGCUUGAGGAAGGUGGCUUGAGAUUCGUCUUAAGUGUUUAUAGCCUCUUGCCUAUGCAGUCGGAGAGAUUGAGGUCUGCAGCGUAGAUCCUUCGGGGCUAAAUGCAUUUGUGCUAAGUUAUAGCAUUUUAUAGACAACUUGUUGACUAUGAUUUGUCUUGUAGCUUACUCGCUUAUGCUAUUUACCUACGCUUAGGAUGUUGAUAGUCACAGCGUGUAC
This 778-nucleotide ribosomal RNA is filed under the name uncultured Neocallimastigales. RNAcentral describes it as "partial large subunit ribosomal RNA". It matches the Rfam family "Eukaryotic large subunit ribosomal RNA", at positions 26 to 628 of the family's 3401-position model. The record is from RNAcentral. Lineage: Eukaryota; Fungi; Neocallimastigomycota; Neocallimastigomycetes; Neocallimastigales.